Long non-coding RNA from Neopelma chrysocephalum (saffron-crested tyrant-manakin), 472 nucleotides. RefSeq lists it as uncharacterized. The transcript has 3 exons. NCBI's taxonomy places the organism in Eukaryota, Metazoa, Chordata, Aves, Passeriformes, Pipridae. The record is from RefSeq and is a predicted model, not a curated record.
AGGGGGCGCAGCGCAGGGAGCUGGUGCUGGAGGUGCUCCAGGGCCGGCGAGUGCCCGUGUCCCUGUGGAUCCUGGGGGGCAGCGCCCUGGGGGGGCUCCUGCUGCUGGCGCUGCUCAGCCUCGGCCUCUGGAGGCUGGGAUUCUUCUCCCGCCCGAAGCCGCCCCAGGAAGAGGAGGAGGAAGAGGAGCAGCAGCAGCAGCACUGAAGCCCUUCCCGAUCCUUGAGGACAUUCCCAGGAUGUCCAGGGUUCAUCCCGGGAUUCUGCCGCCCCCCCCUCGGCUCCAUCCCGGUGGGGGGGGGUGGGAUUGGGCUGGCGGGGGGAUGGAUGAGCAGGUGAGGCCGGAGCCACCCCCUCCCACCACCACCCAGGAUUUGGGAGGGAGACACACACACAUGGAAGUGGGAAAAAAGCCGGGAAUGAGUCGGGAUGGACGGAGCAGCUCCAGCAAUAAAACUCCGGGCCGUGCUCCC